CACUUGUUGCAUUUUGGAGAGAGGUUACUAUACGUAUUAGCUAUUCAUAAAUAGAGAUUACAGAGGUAGUGAACCUAUCCAAGACAUCUUCCUCUUCCUAUUUUUCCUACAACAACAACCCUGUGAAGUCAAUUGGGCUGAAAGAAAAUGACUGGCCCAAAGUCACCCAGCUGGUUUUCAUGACUAAGGUAUUCUAUGACUUUCUAUAUUACAAAGGAACUUCCAAGCAAAGACAUCAAGAAAAAAAGUCUUCCAUGAGAUCUUCCUAUAUCAAGGCUGCAGAAAUAUGGUAGAUGAGUUACAAGAUAAUUGUGACACCUUGUGAUUCUGAAUUCCCAUGAAAUAAUUCUGAAAAUAUUCAGAAACAUUUUGAAAAUAAAAUAAAAAAGAAACAAAACAAAACAAAACAGAAUCACUUUCAUAAAGGAAAAAAAAUUGAGGGUUGAAAGGGAAUUGGAAUCCAGAUUUCAAAUAUUGUACCGUAUUUUUCAGAGUAUAAGACAAACUCCCCCCUCCAAAGAGGCUGAAAAUUUGGGUGUGUCUUAUACUCCGAACCUUUUUUCCAGCCCUAACGAGGCACUAGAGAGUGAAGCGAUCUUCCGCAUGAUGAUCAGUUGUGCUUUAGAAUUUUUUUUCCAGCCCUGACCAGGCGCUAGCGAGUGAAGCGAUCUUCCACGCUUCGCCUGCUUUUCUCAUUGCUUCUCUGUCUGACAAUCAGCUGUGCUUUAGAAGCUGGUUUUUAUCCCCAACCAGGGGAUAAAAAGAGCACGCAACCAGCUAACUAAUGUGCUGAAGCUGACCAGACUAAGGAUGCUAGCCAGAUGACUACCUGGUAGGCAGAUUUUUUUCUCCUAUUUUCCUCCCCAAAAACUAAGGUACAUCUUAUACUCAGGUGCGUCCUAUACUCUGAAAAAUACGGUAAAUCUCAUGUAGCCCAGUAAAUAAUCGGUGUACACAAUGUUUUUUUUUAUAGAGAGUAUUUCCUUUAUUCCAUUCUAUAUAUUUUAUACUGUAGCUUCAGAGAGUUCGCAGUAUCAUUUCUAAUCUGUUGUGACAAUUAUAAUUCCAAUUUUCUGUUGCAGCUGUUGAAGUUGCUUUUGAUGCACACUAAGCUUCCAAAGAAGUUCUAUCUCCAGCUGUAGGUUACUUUCUGAUCGCUAAACUUUUGAGGGUUUCUUUUUUGUAUAAAUAUUAAGAAGAAAACAUCUUUUUAAGAAGGUAUGUUUUUUUCCCCACCUUCUGUAUGCCAAUAUAUUUUUAGUACUACACUGAGCCUUAGAAUGUUCAUUUAACAAUGUAGUGUAGAUAACUAUAUCACAAUACUUUCUUCCAUUAUUUACUAUGUCUUUAAUAUCCUGGGUAUAAUCAUGCUCUACUGAUUAAUAAAGCACUGAUUUGACAGUGCUUUAUGAAGUACUAUUUGAUGUAAGAGAAUGAGGCCUGAUUCAGUAGUAAAAUAAGAAUAACUAGGUGAAUAACUGAAUUUAUGAUAAUUCCAUUUAAAAAUUCUCUUUCCUCUAUAACACUUGAACUUUGAUUUGCUUAAGUAUCUCUUGCCUUUGUGUUGUUUAGCUUAAUUUCAUCAUAUAAAAAGCAGUUUAAAAAAUUGCAAUAUCUAUUCUUACAAAAAUAAUUUCACCUAUUAAUUUGGCACUAGGUAAUUGGGAUUUGUAUAUUAUUAACUCCACUUGAAACAUUAUAUAUUUCUUGAAAUGCUGUUAUUAUAAUAUAUAUAUUUAUUUUACA
Long non-coding RNA from Pantherophis guttatus, 1746 nucleotides. RefSeq lists it as uncharacterized. The record is from RefSeq and is a predicted model, not a curated record. Lineage: Eukaryota; Metazoa; Chordata; Lepidosauria; Squamata; Colubridae.